GGGGUUGACUGGAUUUGACGGCGAGAUGAGAUGGUACGUAAGCACGCGGAGCCUUGAUAGUUCGCUCCUAAAUCCGAGUUAUCACAAAUUUAAUUGGCGAAAACAAUUACGCUCUCGCAGCUUAAUCGAAUUAUAGUAGAUUUAGCAUAAUUCCGUCAUUAGAUGAUGGAACGAGACACUGCUCUAAGGAUGUUGUUCCGAAUCUGAGGGUAAAGCGGUGCAGGAAAAUCGGGAAUAGUCAUAGUAAGCCUCGUUACUUUGAUGAAAAUUUAGAGGAUAAGGCUUCAGUUGGUGGUCCAGGUCUUGCUGUUGCUCGAAAAUUAAAGGCUGGAAUAAACGUGUAGAAGGCGUAUGGUUUCCUUGUGCGGACGUGGGUUCGAAUCCCACCAGCUCCACAA
This 398-nucleotide transfer-messenger RNA is filed under the name Bacteroidaceae. RNAcentral's name for it is "Prevotella sp018053665 Standard tmRNA". It matches the Rfam family "transfer-messenger RNA". From Rfam's summary of the family: Bacterial tmRNA, also known as 10Sa RNA or SsrA, is named for its dual tRNA and mRNA-like properties. Its role is to liberate the mRNA from a stalled ribosome. Lineage: Bacteria; Pseudomonadati; Bacteroidota; Bacteroidia; Bacteroidales. The record is from RNAcentral. RNAcentral also lists the same sequence under 1 other name.